This 68-nucleotide transfer RNA is filed under the name Neoplerochila sp. Its description in RNAcentral is "tRNA-Val". Lineage: Eukaryota; Metazoa; Arthropoda; Insecta; Hemiptera; Tingidae. The record is from RNAcentral.
GUUAAAGUUUUAGGUUAAACUGUAUUAUUUACAUUAAUAUAAAUUCUGUUCAAAUCAGAUAACUUGAU